UACGGAGGGUGCGAGCGUUGUUCGGAAUCACUGGGCGUAAAGCGCGUGUAGGCGGCCUCUUAAGUCUGAUGUGAAAGCCCGGGGCUUACCCCCGGAAGGGCAUUGGAAACUGGGAGGCUCGAGUACCGGAGAGGAAGGUGGAAUUCCUGGUGUAGCGGUGAAAUGCGUAGAUAUCAGGAGGAACACCGGUGGCGAAGGCGGCCUUCUGGACGGAUACUGACGCUGAGACGCGAAAGCGUGGGGAGCAAACAGG
This 253-nucleotide ribosomal RNA is filed under the name uncultured bacterium. Its description in RNAcentral is "partial 16S ribosomal RNA". It matches the Rfam family "Bacterial small subunit ribosomal RNA", at positions 524 to 776 of the family's 1533-position model. The record is from RNAcentral.